AAGAAAACACAUCAGGGCUGGCUGAAAAGUUUUAAGCCUAUCGGUGAACGACCUGUACAAAGCCAAUGGUUUCCAUCUAUUUCUCUGCAUAUAGUCUCCAACGAUGCUAUAAGGUUUAGAUGCUGUCAGGUUGAUGUCUAAUUCCCUAAUGGCCCAAUUUAAUUUAAAGGGAAAUAAAGGGAGGUGGUCCAUAAUGGACUUAGAAAUUUACAAAGUUGUCCGAGAUAGUGUAAUGAUCAGUCAGCCGAGCUGCAAUGAAGCCGAGAUAAUAACAGCAGUUUCGGCUCAUCUAAAAUAUGAGCCGGACAGAAGAGGGACCAAUUAAGUACAUGUACAGUUGUAAUUUGUUUAUUACAUGUCAUAUUUUAUUAUAAUCUUUAUAAGCCAUUUUAAGUUCUUUUAUCAUCCAUUUAAUUUUAUUUUAUUUUCUAUGUGUGAUGUCCACAAAAUGUUAACUGCGCCAUUGAGCAUUGAGUGUUUUAUAUUGGUAAUAGGCGCAUUAUAAAUAAUAAAUUAUUAUUAUUAUUACAGUACCAAUUGCAUUAAAAUUACUUUCUCAUUUUUAGCAAUAUCAUUCAUUACCCAUUACAUUGAAAGUAAAUAAUUACAUUUUAUUACUAUUUAAAGAUUAGUGCUAA
This is a long non-coding RNA of Patella vulgata (common limpet), 638 nucleotides long. RefSeq lists it as uncharacterized. NCBI's taxonomy places the organism in Eukaryota, Metazoa, Mollusca, Gastropoda, Patellidae. The record is from RefSeq and is a predicted model, not a curated record. The transcript has 3 exons.